GCCGCCUUAGCUCAGUUGGUUAGAGCGCUUGAUUGUGGAUCAAGAGGUCCCCCGUUCAAGCCGGGGAGGCGGUACCA
This 77-nucleotide transfer RNA is filed under the name Roseovarius sp. Its description in RNAcentral is "tRNA-His". It matches the Rfam family "tRNA". From Rfam's summary of the family: Transfer RNA (tRNA) molecules are approximately 80 nucleotides in length. Their secondary structure includes four short double-helical elements and three loops (D, anti-codon, and T loops). Further hydrogen bonds mediate the characteristic L-shaped molecular structure. tRNAs have two regions of fundamental functional importance: the anti-codon, which is responsible for specific mRNA codon recognition, and the 3' end, to which the tRNAs corresponding amino acid is attached (by aminoacyl-tRNA synthetases). tRNAs cope with the degeneracy of the genetic code in two manners: having more than one tRNA (with a specific anti-codon) for a particular amino acid; and 'wobble' base-pairing, i.e. permitting non-standard base-pairing at the 3rd anti-codon position. The record is from RNAcentral. Lineage: Bacteria; Pseudomonadati; Pseudomonadota; Alphaproteobacteria; Rhodobacterales; Roseobacteraceae. RNAcentral also lists the same sequence under 2 other names.